UGGGGAAUAUUGCACAAUGGGCGCAAGCCUGAUGCAGCAACGCCGCGUGAAGGGAAGACGGUUUUUCGGAUUGUAAACUUCUGUUGCUUAGUGAAGAAGAAUGACGGUAGCUAAGGAGCAAGCCACGGCUAACUACGUGCCAGCAGCCGCGGUAAUACGUAGGUGGCAAGCGUUGUCCGGAAUUACUGGUGUAAAGGGAGCGCAGGCGGGGGAACAAGUCAGUUGUGAAAUCCAAUGGGCUUAACCCGUGAACUGCAGUUGAAACUGUUCUUCUUGAGUGAAGUAGAGGUUGGCGGAAUUCCGAGUGUAGCGGUGAAAUGCGUAGAUAAUUCGGAGGAACACCGGUGGCGAAGGCGGCCAACUGGGCUUUUACUGACGCUGAGGCUCGAAAGUGUGGGGAGCAAAACAGGAUUAGAUACC
Molecule: ribosomal RNA, 420 nt
Filed under: uncultured bacterium
Lineage: Bacteria
Description: bacterial SSU rRNA
Rfam family: Bacterial small subunit ribosomal RNA
Source: RNAcentral